CUACGGGUUGCAGCAGUGGGGAAUAUUGCACAAUGGGGGGAACCCUGAUGCAGCAACGCCGCGUGGAGGAUGACACAUUUCGGUGCGUAAACUCCUUUUAUAUAAGAAGAUAAUGACGGUAUUAUAUGAAUAAGCACCGGCUAACUCCUUGCCAGCAGCCGCGGUAAUACGGGGGGUGCAAGCGUUACUCGGAAUCACUGGGCGUAAAGAGCAUGUAGGCGGGUAGAAAAGUUGGAAGUGAAAUCCUAUGGCUUAACCAUAGAACUGCUUCCAAAACUCUUUACCUAGAAUAUGGGAGAGGUAGAUGGAAUUUCUGGUGUAGGGGUAAAAUCCGUAGAGAUCAGAAGGAAUACCGAUUGCGAAGGCGAUCUACUGGAACAUUAUUGACGCUCAGAUGCGAAAGCGUGGGGAGCAAACAGGAUUAGAUACCCCCGUAGUC
This 439-nucleotide ribosomal RNA is filed under the name uncultured bacterium. Its description in RNAcentral is "partial 16S ribosomal RNA". It matches the Rfam family "Bacterial small subunit ribosomal RNA", at positions 339 to 795 of the family's 1533-position model. The record is from RNAcentral.